UACGUAGGGGGCUAGCGUUGUCCGGAUUUAUUGGGCGUAAAGAGCGUGUAGGCGGCCAGGUAGGUCUGCUGUGAAAACUCGAGGCUCAACCUCGAGACGUCGGCGGAAACCAUCUGGCUAGAGUCCGGAAGAGGAGAGUGGAAUUCCUGGUGUAGCGGUGAAAUGCGCAGAUAUCAGGAAGAACACCCGUGGCGAAGGCGGCUCUUUGGGACGGUACUGACGCUGAGACGCGAAAGCGUGGGGAGCGAACAGG
This 253-nucleotide ribosomal RNA is filed under the name uncultured bacterium. RNAcentral describes it as "partial 16S ribosomal RNA". It matches the Rfam family "Bacterial small subunit ribosomal RNA", at positions 524 to 776 of the family's 1533-position model. The record is from RNAcentral.